GGCUUAGUGGCCAAGUAGUAAGGCGUUGGUCUUGUAAACCAAAGAUCCAAGGUUCGAACCCCUGCUGGGCCU
This 72-nucleotide transfer RNA is filed under the name Cordylochernes scorpioides. RNAcentral's name for it is "tRNA-Thr". It matches the Rfam family "tRNA". Rfam says of the family: Transfer RNA (tRNA) molecules are approximately 80 nucleotides in length. Their secondary structure includes four short double-helical elements and three loops (D, anti-codon, and T loops). The record is from RNAcentral. Lineage: Eukaryota; Metazoa; Arthropoda; Arachnida; Pseudoscorpiones; Chernetidae.